RNAcentral lists this ribosomal RNA (465 nucleotides) under uncultured bacterium. RNAcentral's name for it is "partial 16S ribosomal RNA". It matches the Rfam family "Bacterial small subunit ribosomal RNA", at positions 28 to 507 of the family's 1533-position model. The record is from RNAcentral.
GACGAACGCUGGCGGCGUGCUUAACACAUGCAAGUCGAACGGCAAGGCCCUGCUUGCAGGGUCCUCGAGUGGCCAACUGGCGAGUAACACGUGGGUGAUCUGCCCUGCACUUCUUGGUAAGCCUUGGCGACUGGGUCUAAUACCGGAUACCAGCCACUUCUUGUGUGAUGGUUGGAAAGUUUUUUCGGUGUUGGGUGAGCUCGCGGCCUAUCGGCUUGUUGGGGGGGUAAUGGCCUACCAAGGCGGCGAGGGGUAGCCCGCCUGAGAGUGUGGACGGCGACAGUGGGACUGAGAGGAGGCCCAGACGGGUACGGGAGGCAGAAGGGGGGAAGAUUGCACAAGGGGCGCAGGGCGGGUGCAGCGAGGCCGCGUGGGGGAUGACGGCCUUCGGGGGGUAGACUCCUUGCGGGAGGGACGAAGCUUGUUGUGACGGUACCUAGAGAAGAAGCACCGGCUAACUACGUG